Non-coding RNA from Triticum urartu, 3859 nucleotides. NCBI's taxonomy places the organism in Eukaryota, Viridiplantae, Streptophyta, Magnoliopsida, Poales, Poaceae. The record is from RefSeq and is a predicted model, not a curated record.
ACCUUUCCUGAUACAAGAAUUAGCAUUGAGAAUGUUUUUAGAGGUAAAUUUGCACUGAGAUUUCUGUAUAUUUACAAGCAAUGGGGCAUACAUUAGUUGGUUUUUUGACAUUAAUCGAGUUUAACGUAUACUUAUAGAUUUCUCGUACACGUACACAUAUGUAGUCACCUAAACGAACAUCCUGCGCGUGUUGUACAUGACCGGUACGGCGGCCCUGAUGGGGAGCGAGAACCGCCAUUGGAACGCGGCAGUGAGCCCCUCGGUGAAGACCUGCGCGGAGAGCAGGAACGUGUGCGGGGCCAUGGCGGCGAUCCCCGUGGUGUCCCCGGACCGGAGGCCGUCGAGGAUGUAGAGCGCCGGGAACGCGGCGCCGACGAGGAACCCGCCCACGAUGUGCGCGGCGAGGAGGAGGCGCUCGGGGCCGAGGAAGAUGGGCGCAGACGGGUUGGGCUUCCCGGGGCGCUGCGGGAAGGUGAUCGUGGCCAGGAGGAGUAGGUAGGGGAGGAGCAGGCCGAUCGAUCGAACCGUAAGAAAAGAAAUCUAAAUUCUGUCAUAUUUCUGCGGUUAUUUUCAAUUCCGAUGGUGGAAACGAUUUAAGGAUAAGUUGGAGGAAUGCCUCGAAGAUGUUUUAUAAGCUUUAAAAAUAGUGGGUGGUUUGAGGUAGUGCAUCAUUUGCCUUUUAUCUGAAGACUUGCAGCCAAAUUUUUUAUCGCACUAUGAGUUGUUUUGUGCACAUGCUGCGUUCUGUGUAGAUAUGGAUGAGAAAAUUCCGUGCCUACAACAUUAUUUGUGUCUGACCCUGUCCGAGGAUCCUGUGGCAUGCUCUGAUUUGUUUCAGAGUGUGGAUGUUCCGAUGCUGUGCAUCGUGUGCUUCCAAGGCAGCAGAAGGUUGUACACAUAUCAACGUCUAUGGGUGAAGAUAUCCUACCAUAUCUAGAACCUGUUUGAUAUGCAGAUUAGUCAAGCUUUUGCAGAGCAGUCCUCAUAAGUUGUUGUAAGAUACAUGCAUGCUGCUGUAGAACAGGAUUUUAUCACAUAUCCAGAGAAGGUUCUUGAAAUGAGGAAAGGCUUUAUUGUGCUCGGCAAGGAUGAUGAUUUUUGUGCAUGAGCUAGGACUAGCAACAGCAGUUGGCGGAACCAGGAUGGAAGUCAUAUUGCCUCCUUUUAUUGAAGCUGCUAUUUCAGGUUUUGGAUUGGAUUAUAGCGAGCUAAUGUAGUACUAAGGGAUAUAGACAACAAGGUCCACCUAGACCAUAAAUCACAUUGUUUGUGACAUCAACACAUCCAAUUGUAACUGUAGUCCCUCAUUUGUAUGACGUUACAGUCAACGUUUAACACCCACUGUUCGUAAUAUAUACAUGAUAUCCACUGACCAAAUUCAGAUAUAUGGAAUCCCAGAAUCAAUUAUGCAACUUGAGCAAGGUAUGUGGCCAUCUAACUUAAUCCUUGCAUACAGUAGAAGAUCUAUCCUACAAACAUAUAUCAUCUACUUUUCUGAAUUUCACUGGCAUCCCUUAGCUGUGUUUGUGGGUCGAAAACAUGUGUAUACUACACUUUGCGCAGGCAGCAUCCCUAGAGAAUAUAUUGCUCAGCGUUAUGUACCUAAUAAACAUAUGAUAAAUAGAGGCAUUUUCUUUCAUCUUGAUCCGAACACUCCUAUUUGGUGUUGGUGCUCUUUCUAAGUAACUAUAUGUUCAAGAAUUGAUCCAAAUUUAAAGGAUAAGAAAGUUUACAUUUUCUUAUAGGGCUCGGACCGAAUAAAGUCUUAUCAGGCUUGCUGCUAUGUUGUUUGUAAUAUAAAAACAACCAUAAUUGUGGAGGAGUGAGUCAUUCUCUCAUGGGGAUUUGUUUGCUUAAUAGUAGAAUUCCAAUUGCUUUUGGAUUUAUAUGAUGCAGCUUACAUACUCCCAUCACCCAGUAACAUAUCAAUAUCAGUUACUGCAUCGUACCGGGUUUAUAUUAUGCAUCCCUACUGAAAGUUCCAUUGUUAAAUAGAAACGAAGAUUACAAUUAUAGAUGAUAGAUAUAUGUAAUUGUGCGAUGCAUUCUCACUGCUUCCAGUAGAUACUAUCAUUUCAGAGUUCACCUAAAAUUUGCAAUGUUCAAAUUUUUGGGAUCAAAAUACAACUUUUUUUAAAUUUAAGCCAAUAUAAAGUGUCUGCAGGUUGACUUUUAAAACAUUUUUGCUUACAAGAAGCUUAUCAGUUGUAAUGUUUAGCACCUACAUAACCUGAUGGUCCUGUAGUGACUUGGGAUUGGCGAUUAAAGAAAUAUGGGUAUCAAGCAUAUUAAUGUGGGAAGUAGAUAUACAAUAUGUUAUAAAGGAGAAGACAAGUAAAUAUUGAGUGUGAAAGAUCAGUAUGAUUUUUUUACUAUCAUAUGAAUUAUUGAAUUUAAUCUGGUAUUCAACCCCUCAACAUUAUAUUUAAUACAUGCUACUACACCAUUACUUAUCUCUACUAUAAAAGGAGAAUUUGACAAGUAAUCAAGCAAGUCAGCACUAUCGUCGAUGGAAGUUGUCGUGCGGAGAUGGAAGUUGACAAUUUUCUCCAUGAAGUUGAUCUGAUGCGAAGCUUGUCCCAGAUAAAAGGACCAAUGAAGGAAGAGAAGCAAAUCACAACCCUUUAGUUCAUGGUCUAGGAGCAGGGAGGGCUUCUCUACACCGGUACGGUCUCUCGCUGGUACACGAUUUGAGGCAUAGGAGGGAGGGGCACGUUGGGAUGUCGUCUUCGGUCACGGCUAUAGCUUAUGAGAAGAAUGGGGUUUAUGCUUGGCAGACUGCCCCAUGGUUAGCAAGUCAUUAUUGCCGCCUCCGCUUCCCAAGUUGCCUCGGCUUGCUGUUGGUGUGUGCUGCUUCUGCAGCCCCUGUCGGCCGUCUCUUAGGUUCGGUUUUGCUGCCACUGCUGAAGUUUCCAUUGCCUCGGCAAGGCGUCCUCGUCUUACUUGCAAGGCACACAUUGCACCGCGGGCAACAUCUUGCUAUGCAUGGCCACUCAUGUCAAAGUUGGGUUCCAGUUUGACGACCUCUCUACCAAGUCUCCAUGUUCUUCUUUCCUGUACUUUCUCCAUCUGCUGUUAUACUCUUGCAAGUACGGCUUAACCAGUUUGAUGUCAUGUUGCUUUAGCAGUUGUGACGUAUGUGCAGGAUAGAUAAUGUUUCAUUGGUAGCGCACAUAGUGCAUCUAGAGAAAACAAUUGCUUUCAUCGGCAAACAUGGAUAUAUUCUUAAGUGGACAUUCAGCUAGAAUACAUAUGCAUUUUCCAUAUACUUCAGAGUUUUAUCUCUCAAGGGAGCUGCAUUUUUUUAGAAAGGGAAUAACACAUAUUGGUUGUUUUCAUUGUGUUAGCCACAUCUAUUGUGCGUCUCAAUCAUUUAAAUUUUGGGCAUUGUACUAUCAUGAAUCAGUUUUGCAAUAAAUUUGUAGAAGUUUUUGCCCCCAAGAAUAUACUGAGAAAUAUUUGCUGCAACUAAACUUUGUUGAGCAUGUCUAUUAACACUUUCCUCUUCUCCUAUUAGAUGUAAUGAUCUAGACCAAAGCAACCCUCAUGUAUAUUGAUACUAUACUAGAAGGCCACCAAAGAAUUUUACAGAACAAGAGAAGAUGGCGUGCACCAUAUCUUUAAGAUGACUUCCCUCACCAUGUGGCAUGCACUUUUCGGUUUUACUUUAGCGCAAUUGCCAUGUAUGUAAGGGAUACAAUUAGGCUGAAUAUUGCAAUUGUAGUUUUUUUCUGAACUUUUUCAACAUCCCAGCAUUAGUAAAAUACUCCCCUAUUCCAUAAUGUAAGACAUUUUUGCAAGCUAUAUGUUUGUUAUACAUUAUAUUGCUUGAAAUCAAUAAUUUACUCUUUUUUACUAA